This 327-nucleotide ribosomal RNA is filed under the name uncultured eukaryote. Its description in RNAcentral is "partial 18S ribosomal RNA". It matches the Rfam family "Eukaryotic small subunit ribosomal RNA", at positions 1470 to 1796 of the family's 1831-position model. The record is from RNAcentral.
CCCUUAGAUGUUCUGGGCCGCACGCGCGCUACACUGACGAAUGCAACGAGCUUAUAACCUUGGCCGAAAGGUCUGGGUAAUCUCCAAAUUUCGUCGUGAUGGCGAUAGAUUAUUGCAAUUAUUAAUCUUCAACGAGGAAUGCCUAGUAAGCGCAAGUCAUCAGCUUGCGUUGAUUACGUCCCUGCCCUUUGUACACACCGCCCGUCGCUCCUACCGAUUGAAUGGUCCGGUGAAGCGUUCGGACCGUGGCCUUUGGACGGUUCGCCGUCUGUUGGCUGCGGGAAGUUCGUUAAACCUUAUCAUUUAGAGGAAGGAGAAGUCGUAACA